This 812-nucleotide ribosomal RNA is filed under the name uncultured Bacillota bacterium. RNAcentral describes it as "bacterial SSU rRNA". It matches the Rfam family "Bacterial small subunit ribosomal RNA", at positions 58 to 877 of the family's 1533-position model. The record is from RNAcentral. Lineage: Bacteria; Bacillati; Bacillota.
CAAGUCGAGCGAGAAAGUGUAGCAAUACAUGAGUAAAGCGGCGCACGGGUGAGUAACACGUGGAUAACCUGCCUCAAAGUGGGGAAUAACACCGGGAAACCGGUGCUAAUACCGCAUAUUCUGACGAGAUCUGCGGAUUUUGUCAGGAAAGGAGCAAUUCGCUAUGAGAGGGGUCCGCGGCUGAUUAGCUAGUUGGUGAGGUAAUGGCUCACCAAGGCUUCGAUCAGUAGCCGGUCUGAGAGGACGGUCGGCCACACUGGAACUGAGACACGGUCCAGACUCCUACGGGAGGCAGCAGUGGGGAAUUUUUCGCAAUGGGGGAAACCCUGACGAAGCAAUGCCGCGUGGAUGAUGAAGUAUCUCGGUACGUAAAAUCCUUUCGACGGGGACGAAACCGCAAGGUUGACGGUACCCGUAGAAGAAGCCCCGGCUAACUCCGUGCCAGCAGCCGCGGUAAUACGGGGGGGGCAAGCGUUGUUCGGAAUUACUGGGCGUAAAGGGUGCGUAGGCGGCUUUCUAAGUCGGAUGUGAAAACUCUGGGCUCAACCCAGAGCCUGCAUCUGAAACUGGAGAGCUAGGGUUCUGGAGGGGAAAGCGGAAUUCCUGGUGUAGCGGUGAAAUGCGUAGAUAUCAGGAGGAACACCGGUGGCGAAGGCGGCUUUCUGGACAGAUACCGACGCUGAGGCACGAAAGCUAGGGGAGCAAACAGGAUUAGAUACCCUGGUAGUCCUAGCCCUAAACGAUGGAUACUUGCUGUGGGGGGGAUUGAAGCCCCUUGUGGCGAAGCUAACGCAUUAAGUAUCCCGCCUGGG